CGGGGUAUGUCAGUGGUAAGAUUCGACUGCAGAUCGAGAGGUCCCCGGUUCAAAACCCGGUGCCCCCU
This is a non-coding RNA of Trichonephila inaurata madagascariensis, 68 nucleotides long. The record is from the annotation of a GenBank genome assembly. NCBI's taxonomy places the organism in Eukaryota, Metazoa, Arthropoda, Arachnida, Araneae, Nephilidae.